GUUCUCCCCGGGGAGCUUCAGUGUCAUCAGAGCCUGAAGGAGGAAGCAACUCGGCACCACGUGGCCCAGAGCAGGCUCGUGAGCUGGCCUCGGUCAGCAGGUCGCCUGGGUCUCUGUCUCAGUGCUCAGCAGGGCGAGGACAGGACAGAACGGGCCCCAUCACAGACUGCGCUUAGAAGGAACUCAGUAAAACAAAGACCAUUUUCUUCUGGAGGCAACUCAAGGAGGUAAGACUGUGAGUCAAGCGCCUUGGAGGAUAAGAAGUCCAGGAAAACAUGGAAACAAUGAACAGACGCAAGCACGCAGAGCCGCACGCCCUGACGGUGCACCCCGAGCCAGGUGGCACCCAGCAGCCAGGAAACCCAUGAGUGACAGUGGCCAAGGUGGCCUGGUCGUCUGCAAUUACAGGAACCUGCCUUUCAAGGUUUCCAGCAUCACUGGUACUCAAUAUUGAAGGAAUGAAAAUACGUGAGGAAUAAAAGAAUGAAGAAAGUGACCUCUACCGCAAGGACACAGGCCCUGAAGGCUGAGACUGUGAAGGGGGCAGGCAAAGAUCCACGCCCAGACAGGCCACCCCUGCUCUCCUGGGAA
This 591-nucleotide long non-coding RNA is filed under the name Homo sapiens (human). Its description in RNAcentral is "HSALNT0226323". Lineage: Eukaryota; Metazoa; Chordata; Mammalia; Primates; Hominidae. The record is from RNAcentral.